AUUGAACGCUGGCGGCAUGCCUUACACAUGCAAGUCGAACGGUAACAGGUUAAGCUGACGAGUGGCGAACGGGUGAGUAAUAUAUCGGAACGUGCCCAGUCGUGGGGGAUAACGUAGAGAAAGCUACGCUAAUACCGCAUACGAUCUACGGAUGAAAGCGGGGGAUCGCAAGACCUCGCGCGAUUGGAGCGGCCGAUAUCAGCUUAGGUGUUUGGUGAGGUAAAAGCUCACCAAGCCUGCGAUCUGUAGCUGGUCUGAGAGGACGACCAGCCACACUGGAACUGAGACACGGUCCAGACUCCUACGGGAGGCAGCAGUGGGGAAUUUUGGACAAUGGACGCAAGUCUGAUCCAGCAAUGCCGCGUGCAGGACGAAGGCCUUCGGGUUGUAAACUGCUUUUGUACGGAACGAAACGGUGAGCUCUAAUACAGUUUGCUAAUGACGGUACCGUAAGAAUAAGCACCGGCUAACUACGUGCCAGCCGCCGCGGUAA
This 493-nucleotide ribosomal RNA is filed under the name uncultured bacterium. RNAcentral's name for it is "partial 16S ribosomal RNA". It matches the Rfam family "Bacterial small subunit ribosomal RNA", at positions 30 to 523 of the family's 1533-position model. The record is from RNAcentral.